UAACGUGCAAUUUGUUCGUGAGACUUGAGUAUAGGGGCGAAAAACCAAUCGAACCAUCUAGUAGCUGGUUCCCUCUGAAAUUUCUCUCAGGAUAGCAGGAAAAUGUCAGUUUUAUCAGGUAAAGCUAAUGAUUAGAGGCAUCGGGAUAAUUUUAUCUCGACCUAUUCUCAAACUUUAAAUUGGUAAGAUCAGAAGGUUUUCUUAAUUGAACGUUCUGGAUAAAUGUGUUUUCCUAGUGGGCCAUUUUUGGUAAGCAGAACUGGCAAUGAGGGAUGAACCUAACGUUAGGUUAAAGUGCCAAAUUCACAAUCAUCAGAACCCACAAAAGGUGUUAGCCCAUUAAGACAGCAGGACGGUGUCCCUAAGAGCAGGAAUCCGCUAAGGAGUGCCUUCAAGCUCACCUGCCGAAUGUGUUAGCCCUGAAAAUGGAUGGCGCUAUAUUGUGAAACUGAUACCUAACCAUCAGAGCAAGAUUUGGCUUUGAUGAGUAAGAGGGCGUGGGGAUGGUGUAGAAGCUUCCAUGUGAAUGGGUGUGGAGCCUUCUCUAGUGCAGAUCUUGGUAGUAGUAGAACUUAUUCAAAUGAGAACUUUGAAAGCCGAAGUGGAGAAGGUUUCAUGACACAUCACUUGAUUAUGAGUUACUCGGUCCUAAUGCGAUGGGAAAAUCCUAGAUGAAAUUACUUCAUUGCAGAAAGGGAAUCAGCUAAUAUUCCUGAAGC
Molecule: ribosomal RNA, 719 nt
Filed under: uncultured ciliate
Lineage: Eukaryota; Ciliophora
Description: eukaryotic LSU rRNA
Rfam family: Eukaryotic large subunit ribosomal RNA
Source: RNAcentral